RNAcentral lists this non-coding RNA (30 nucleotides) under Mus musculus (house mouse). The record is from RNAcentral. Lineage: Eukaryota; Metazoa; Chordata; Mammalia; Rodentia; Muridae.
UGCAGAGAUCGGGUUUUAAAUCUUGAAAGC